RNAcentral lists this ribosomal RNA (497 nucleotides) under uncultured bacterium. RNAcentral's name for it is "partial 16S ribosomal RNA". It matches the Rfam family "Bacterial small subunit ribosomal RNA", at positions 28 to 507 of the family's 1533-position model. The record is from RNAcentral.
GAUGAACGCUGGCGGCGUGCCUAAUACAUGCAAGUCGAGCGAACGGACGAGAAGCUUGCUUCUCUGAUGUUAGCGGCGGACGGGUGAGUAACACGUGGAUAACCUACCUAUAAGACUGGGAUAACUUCGGGAAACCGUAGCUAAUACCGGAUAAUAUUUUGAACCGCAUGGUUCAAAGGUGAAAGACGGUCUUGCUGUCACUUAUAGAUGGAUCCGCGCUGCAUUAGCUAGUUGGUAAGGUAACGGCUUACCAAGGCAACGAUGCAUAGCCGACCUGAGAGGGUGGUCGGCCACACUGGAACUGAGACACGUCCCAGACUCCUACGGGAGGCAGCAGUAGGGAAUCUUCCGCGAUGGGCGAAAGCCUGACGGAGCAACGCCGCGUGAGUGAUGAAGGUCUUCGGAUCGUAAAACUCUGUUAUUAGGGAAGAACAUAUGUGUAAGUAACUGUGCACAUCUUGACGGUACCUAAUCAGAAAGCCACGGCUAACUACGUG